UACAACUUUCAGCGGUGGAUGUCUAGGUUCCCACAACGAUGAAGAACGCAGCGAAAUGCGAUACGUAAUGCGAAUUGCAAGACCUCGUGYAUMAUUAAAAUUUUGAACGCACAUUGCGCUUUCGGGAUUUUCCCGGGAGCAUACUUGUCUGAGU
This 154-nucleotide ribosomal RNA is filed under the name Pseudo-nitzschia calliantha. RNAcentral's name for it is "5.8S ribosomal RNA". It matches the Rfam family "5.8S ribosomal RNA". From Rfam's summary of the family: 5.8S ribosomal RNA (5.8S rRNA) is a component of the large subunit of the eukaryotic ribosome. It is transcribed by RNA polymerase I as part of the 45S precursor that also contains 18S and 28S rRNA. The record is from RNAcentral. Lineage: Eukaryota; Bacillariophyta; Bacillariophyceae; Bacillariales; Bacillariaceae.